GCUUACGGCCACACCCCCGCCUGGUUCCACGCCCGAUCUCGUUGAUCUCGGAAGCUAAAAGGUAGGUUGGGCCUGGUUAGUACUUGGAUGGGAGACCGCCUGGGAAUACCAGGUGCUGUAAGCU
Molecule: ribosomal RNA, 124 nt
Filed under: Scophthalmus maximus (turbot)
Lineage: Eukaryota; Metazoa; Chordata; Actinopteri; Pleuronectiformes; Scophthalmidae
Source: RNAcentral